CACACCUGCUCAAGUGUGCGUC
RNAcentral lists this ribosomal RNA (22 nucleotides) under Ulvella sp. 1-BER-2007. RNAcentral's name for it is "partial 5.8S ribosomal RNA". The record is from RNAcentral. Lineage: Eukaryota; Viridiplantae; Chlorophyta; Ulvophyceae; Ulvales; Ulvellaceae.